This 1318-nucleotide ribosomal RNA is filed under the name Mycobacterium intracellulare. RNAcentral's name for it is "bacterial SSU rRNA". It matches the Rfam family "Bacterial small subunit ribosomal RNA", at positions 113 to 1431 of the family's 1533-position model. The record is from RNAcentral. Lineage: Bacteria; Bacillati; Actinomycetota; Actinomycetes; Mycobacteriales; Mycobacteriaceae.
ACACGUGGGCAAUCUGCCCUGCACUUCGGGAUAAGCCUGGGAAACUGGGUCUAAUACCGGAUAGGACCUUUAGGCGCAUGUCUUUAGGUGGAAAGCUUUUGCGGUGUGGGAUGGGCCCGCGGCCUAUCAGCUUGUUGGUGGGGUGAUGGCCUACCAAGGCGACGACGGGUAGCCGGCCUGAGAGGGUGUCCGGCCACACUGGGACUGAGAUACGGCCCAGACUCCUACGGGAGGCAGCAGUGGGGAAUAUUGCACAAUGGGCGCAAGCCUGAUGCAGCGACGCCGCGUGGGGGAUGACGGCCUUCGGGUUGUAAACCUCUUUCACCAUCGACGAAGGUCCGGGUUUUCUCGGAUUGACGGUAGGUGGAGAAGAAGCACCGGCCAACUACGUGCCAGCAGCCGCGGUAAUACGUAGGGUGCGAGCGUUGUCCGGAAUUACUGGGCGUAAAGAGCUCGUAGGUGGUUUGUCGCGUUGUUCGUGAAAUCUCACGGCUUAACUGUGAGCGUGCGGGCGAUACGGGCAGACUAGAGUACUGCAGGGGAGACUGGAAUUCCUGGUGUAGCGGUGGAAUGCGCAGAUAUCAGGAGGAACACCGGUGGCGAAGGCGGGUCUCUGGGCAGUAACUGACGCUGAGGAGCGAAAGCGUGGGGAGCGAACAGGAUUAGAUACCCUGGUAGUCCACGCCGUAAACGGUGGGUACUAGGUGUGGGUUUCCUUCCUUGGGAUCCGUGCCGUAGCUAACGCAUUAAGUACCCCGCCUGGGGAGUACGGCCGCAAGGCUAAAACUCAAAGGAAUUGACGGGGGCCCGCACAAGCGGCGGAGCAUGUGGAUUAAUUCGAUGCAACGCGAAGAACCUUACCUGGGUUUGACAUGCACAGGACGCGUCUAGAGAUAGGCGUUCCCUUGUGGCCUGUGUGCAGGUGGUGCAUGGCUGUCGUCAGCUCGUGUCGUGAGAUGUUGGGUUAAGUCCCGCAACGAGCGCAACCCUUGUCUCAUGUUGCCAGCGGGUAAUGCCGGGGACUCGUGAGAGACUGCCGGGGUCAACUCGGAGGAAGGUGGGGAUGACGUCAAGUCAUCAUGCCCCUUAUGUCCAGGGCUUCACACAUGCUACAAUGGCCGGUACAAAGGGCUGCGAUGCCGCAAGGUUAAGCGAAUCCUUUUAAAGCCGGUCUCAGUUCGGAUUGGGGUCUGCAACUCGACCCCAUGAAGUCGGAGUCGCUAGUAAUCGCAGAUCAGCAACGCUGCGGUGAAUACGUUCCCGGGCCUUGUACACACCGCCCGUCACGUCAUGAAAGUCGGUAACACCCGAAGCCAGU